RNAcentral lists this ribosomal RNA (918 nucleotides) under Burkholderia multivorans. Its description in RNAcentral is "bacterial LSU rRNA". It matches the Rfam family "Bacterial large subunit ribosomal RNA", at positions 1094 to 1882 of the family's 2925-position model. The record is from RNAcentral. Lineage: Bacteria; Pseudomonadati; Pseudomonadota; Betaproteobacteria; Burkholderiales; Burkholderiaceae.
CAGGAGGUUGGCUUAGAAGCAGCCACCCUUGAAAGAGUGCGUAAUAGCUCACUGGUCAAGUGAUUGAGCGCCGAUAAUGUAGCGGGGCUAAGUACACCGCCGAAGUUGUGGCAGCAUCACGAUACUGUAAUGGUGUGGUGUUGGGUAGGGGAGCGUCGUGUCGCCAGUGAAGUCGCCGUGUGAACGAGUGGUGGAGGCGUCACGAGUGAGAAUGCAGGCAUGAGUAGCGAAAGACGGGUGAGAAACCCGUCCACCGGAUGACCAAGGGUUCCAGGGCUAGGCUAAUCCGCCCUGGGUAAGUCGGGACCUAAGGCGAGGCCGACAGGCGUAGUCGAUGGACAACCAGUUGAUAUUCUGGUACCGACACACAACCGACAAUACCAAAACACAUGAGACUAACUCCCCGGUCCACCCGUGGCGUCUUCGGAUGUCUGGUUGGUGGGUUGGUGAGGACCUGAGUGUGGAGUCGGUAAGCGUGAGGUGUGACGCAGAAAGGUAGCCAGGCCACGCGAUGGUAGUCGUGGUCUAAGGUCGUAGCAUGUGGGGGUAGGCAAAUCCGUCCCCACACAAGUGUGAGAGCUGAUGGGCGCCCCACAGUGGUGGGGUGAUCUGGUGAUCCUCUGCUGCCGAGAAAAGCAUCGACGUGAGGGUGUGUGUUGCCCGUACCCUAUAACCGACACAGGUGGUCAGGUAGAGAAUACUAAGGUGAUCGAGAGAAUCGUGGUUAAGGAACUCGGCAAAAUGCCCCCGUAACUUCGGGAGAAGGGGGGCCAUCCUGGUGAACGGCCCUUGCGGUUGGGAGCUGGUGGUGGUCGCAGAGGCCAGAGAGAAGCGACUGUUUAUUAAAAACACAGGUCCGUGCGAAGAUGUAAGUCGAUGUAUACGGACUGACGCCUGCCCGGUGCUGGAAGGUUAAGA